RNAcentral lists this ribosomal RNA (1370 nucleotides) under Triticum aestivum (bread wheat). RNAcentral describes it as "partial small subunit ribosomal RNA". Lineage: Eukaryota; Viridiplantae; Streptophyta; Magnoliopsida; Poales; Poaceae. The record is from RNAcentral.
ACGAGAACCAGAACGGGAACGGGCUAGGGGAAAGAGUGAGGUUUUAAAGACGAAGGCCAUCGAGGGUAGUCGAACUAAGGAACUAAGGGAGGGAACUCGAACGAACAGGAGUGGACAUCGGUGGGGGCGUCGAGCUAAGCGGACACGCCGGUAUCCCACUUGAAGCUGCCACCGAACAAACAGAGGAGCAUGCGGAGGAGCCAGAGGAGGAUCCGACCAUUACCGCUACCUCCCCAUCGUCCGGGUUCCACAUCGACGCGUUCCCUCCUCCACUCUAGUAGUUCGACGUGCCACAACAACGACAGUUAUAGGCACGUCCACUAAAACGGCACCUAAAGAAGAGGGUGUCGACGAAACUAGGUAGAAAUCAUACUCCUAUCACAUCAGCAAAAGACGGGGUCGCGGCCGGUCUGUGUAGGAGGUGUAGCCGUUGUAAGAAACUUGAAACUUCGCACAACGGGAUGUCGUCUUUAUUCCUCAAUGUACUUGACCCUUGCUAACCUAACCUGCACCCCUCUCUUUUUCCUUUACAAUGGAGCGACAACCGCCCUUUCUCAUCAUUUCGAGGUUGGAGUUAUAGCAGGAACUACUUCUCCAGCUUAAUACCGGUGAAUGUCCCAUACACAUACCACACAUAGAGUUCAGAGUUGAGAGUGUACCAACCAGAAGAUUAGAGGGAGAUCGACCGACUGUCACCCGUACGUGUUGAGAUAAGUGGGCUGCCACGAUCGCACGUACUUCCUAUCCGAAACUCGGGUAGUUAGCACACAUUGGAUGACUAGACGACUCAACUCCACAUACCAUAUACUAUUUUACGGCUAGACGACUCAACUCUACGUACUACCUAUCGGUGGCUCUACAUCUAAUUGGAAAAAAAAUUGUUUGUAUCUAGUUGAACUAAAGUGGCGAUAACGAAAAGUUAGUAGUUCGUGCGUCUAACAUCGAUCCUCGUUCUGGAAUAAUCUUACUUCAUUAGUAGACGAGGUCUCUCGGUCGCCACGUACCGACGAGUUCGCUGGUACGGAAUCCGCGUCGGUCGGCAGCCGCUGAACUGUUGACCCUAUACUAAAAGAAGAAAAGUAAAUGCCUGCCCUCCUGCUGGUUAGCCGGCCGCCGUUGAACUAUUUGAGUACCUUGCCCGUGGGAAGAGUUAGUGCAUGCCCUCCUGCCGGCGGCAGACCGCCGCUAAACUGUUGUACCUUAUCCCUAUAAAAAGAAAAGUUAGAUCCUGCCCCUCUUGUUAUAAGAUCCAGUAUUCAUAUACAAAGGUACCGUAUCCACCCAUUAAAACUGGUUCAUUCUGAAACCUACUAGAUUACCAACAUUAAUGUACUGAAUUUUCAAAUUACCAGUCUACAAAGAUUAAAAAC